CAAGGCCUAUUGGUGACUCAGCAGGAAAUUGGAUGGCGGCUUACCCAAGGAGAGACAAUCCCUACUCCCGCUAAAGAUGAAAUUGUAGUCUUAACUUAUCAUAUACUCAAGGGUUUUACCCCGCCCAGCUCUAAAUUUUUUCGGGACCUCCUCCACUACUUCAACUUGCACCCUCGAGAUAUAGGCCCAAACUUUGUAUCCAACAUUUGCCACUUCCAAAUCUUUUGUGACGUUUACCUUCAAACAACACUUGUUGUUCCCCUCUUUAAGGAGUUAUUUUAUAUAAACCACCAAAUUGAAUGUCAGAAUGACCCAAGCCAAGAAUUAGGCAGAGUCUCUAUUCAGAGCAGGAGAGACAACAACUUUCCUUCCACAAUCUUGCCAAGCCACCCCAAAGGAUGGGUGACCACUUGGUUUUACUGCAAAAAUACUGCUCCAACAACUGAAAACCCUCUGCCUGGGUUUAGAGAUGAAUGUCUUGCAGUGGAUUUUGACCCGCCAAGUAAAAUUAUCCCAGAAGAACAUGCAGAAGCCUUCCCAUUUCUCUCCAAGGCUAAAGCUUUAUUGGCUCAUGGGUUAAUUGGAGUUGAUUUGACCCGAUGUUGGGUCUCUUGGAAGAUACUCCCUUUAAGUCGUUGUCCUAGCUUAAUGUGUGAAUAUUCUGGUGAGCCAAACAAUCCUCAAUGGUACGUUGAAGACAAC
This 702-nucleotide ribosomal RNA is filed under the name Triticum aestivum (bread wheat). Its description in RNAcentral is "partial small subunit ribosomal RNA". The record is from RNAcentral. Lineage: Eukaryota; Viridiplantae; Streptophyta; Magnoliopsida; Poales; Poaceae.